UUAUAAAUCACUGGAUUAGGGCUGUC
RNAcentral lists this non-coding RNA (26 nucleotides) under Mus musculus (house mouse). The record is from RNAcentral. Lineage: Eukaryota; Metazoa; Chordata; Mammalia; Rodentia; Muridae.